UGGGGAAUAUUGCACAAUGGGCGAAAGCCUGAUGCAGCGACGCCGCGUGAGGGAUGACGGCCUUCGGGUUGUAAACCUCUUUCAGCAGGGACGAAGCGCAAGUGACGGUACCUGCAGAAGAAGCACCGGCUAACUACGUGCCAGCAGCCGCGGUAAUACGUAGGGUGCAAGCGUUGUCCGGAAUUACUGGGCGUAAAGAGUUCGUAGGCGGUUUGACGCGUCGUUUGUGAAAACCAGCAGCUCAACUGCUGGCUUGCAGGCGAUACGGGCAGACUUGAGUACUGCAGGGGAGACUGGAAUUCCUGGUGUAGCGGUGAAAUGCGCAGAUAUCAGGAGGAACACCGGUGGCGAAGGCGGGUCUCUGGGCAGUAACUGACGCUGAGGAGCGAAAGCGUGGGUAGCGAACAGG
This 409-nucleotide ribosomal RNA is filed under the name bacterium. RNAcentral describes it as "partial 16S ribosomal RNA". It matches the Rfam family "Bacterial small subunit ribosomal RNA", at positions 355 to 776 of the family's 1533-position model. The record is from RNAcentral.